AUACAUUACAUGUUCAUGCUUCCUGUACACCAGGCACUGUGCUAAGCACCAUACACUUGCACUCUCUAGGUGGCUCACUAUUGAAAUCCCAGUACCUUGCACUAUGGCUGGCACAUAGCAGGUGUUCAAAAUUUACUACGUAAGCAAAUUUAAGUUGAUCUCCACAACAACCUUUUGAAAUGAGUUUCAUUCUCUCUAUUUUAAGAAGAAGAAAAUUAAAUGUCAGAAAUUUAAAAACUUACCUGAAGUUACUGAGCACAAACAUGGGGAAAAGUAGGAAUCAAAUCCAGGUUUUCACCAUUCUACUAGUGUAUCCUUGCAUAAGGCCUAAAGAUAUGGCCUUUCUGGUAAGGUAGGAAUAGGAGGAGAGCAGUGUUGAUCCCAGAUCAGAAUUUGGAUGACCUGGGUGGAAUCUGAAAGAAAUUUAGAUACGAGGAAAAAGUGGGGUGCUUGUUUUCAAUAACAAUUGACUAUGGGCAAGGCACCUUGCUCACUGGAGUGGGAAGGGUGAGGAUAUCUAUUAAUUUUCAACAACCUCUAUAAGUUUGUUUUAUUAUCUCCACUUUAUAGGUGAGGAAACUAAGGCUUCAGGACAUUAAAUAUUAUACAAUACAAGGCCAUGAGUUCACAAAAGUUGUGUAAGCACAGUUCUGAACUAGGUCUAUCACAUUUCCAGGUCCAUGCUCUUUCUACUGCAUCCUGCUGACAAGAAGGGAAAGUGUGGGAACUGAUGGAGGUUCAGCAGGCUCUGUUGUCAGCCCAACAAAAGCACCAAAGAAGUUUCCUGGCUGACAUUUUACUACAUCAUCACGUACGGCGAACUGGAUUGUGAAUGCCCUUAGAUGCCAUUGGAAGGGAUUUAGAUUUCACUUUCUAAGUAGGCAAUGCGAGUCCAUUCAGAGAUUGUGAAGUGGAAGAAUAUCAUGAUCAGAUCUGUGUGGCUGAUGAAUAGAGACAAAUCUGAUGUCUGGGGUUAUAUUAUUGAGAUUCAAUAAAUGCUAAUUCUAUACUUACUUAUUGAGUGCCUAAUAUGUGCA
This 1037-nucleotide long non-coding RNA is filed under the name Homo sapiens (human). RNAcentral describes it as "HSALNT0242794". The record is from RNAcentral. Lineage: Eukaryota; Metazoa; Chordata; Mammalia; Primates; Hominidae.